AGAGCGAACGCUGGCGGCAUGCUUAACACAUGCAAGUCGCACGGGCAGGGGAAACUCUGUCAGUGGCGGACGGGUGAGUAACGCGUAGGUAUCUGUCCAUGGGUGGGGGAUAACGGCGGGAAACUGCUGCUAAUACCGCAUGACACCUGAGGGUCAAAGGCGCAAGUCGCCUGUGGAGGAGCCUGCGUCCGAUUAGCUAGUUGGUGGGGUAACGGCCUACCAAGGCGACGAUCGGUAGCUGGUCUGAGAGGAUGAUCAGCCACACUGGGACUGAGACGCGGCCCAGACUCCUACGGGAGGCAGCAGUGGGGAAUAUUGGACAAUGGGCGCAAGCCUGAUCCAGCAAUGCCGCGUGGGUGAAGAAGGUCUUCGGAUUGUAAAGCCCUUUCGGCGGGGACGAUGAUGACGGUACCGCAGAAGAAGCCCGGCUAACUUCGUGCCAGCAGCCGCGGUAA
Molecule: ribosomal RNA, 455 nt
Filed under: uncultured bacterium
Lineage: Bacteria
Description: SSU rRNA
Rfam family: Bacterial small subunit ribosomal RNA
Source: RNAcentral